AUUGAACGCUGGCGGCAGGCCUAACACAUGCAAGUCGAGCGGAUGAAGGGAGCUUGCUCCUGGAUUCAGCGGCGGACGGGUGAGUAAUGCCUAGGAAUCUGCCUGGUAGUGGGGGAUAACGUCCGGAAACGGGCGCUAAUACCGCAUACGUCCUGAGGGUGAAAGUGGGGGAUCUUCGGACCUCACGCUAUCAGAUGAGCCUAGGUCGGAUUAGCUAGUUGGUGGGGUAAAGGCCUACCAAGGCGACGAUCCGUAACUGGUCUGAGAGGAUGAUCAGUCACACUGGAACUGAGACACGGUCCAGACUCCUACGGGAGGCAGCAGUGGGGAAUAUUGGACAAUGGGCGAAAGCCUGAUCCAGCCAUGCCGCGUGUGUGAAGAAGGUCUUCGGAUUGUAAAGCUCUGUAAGUUGGGAGGAAGGGCAGUAAGUGAAUACCUGGCUGUUUUGACGGUACCAACAGAGUAAGCACCGGCUAACUUCGUG
RNAcentral lists this ribosomal RNA (484 nucleotides) under uncultured bacterium. RNAcentral's name for it is "partial 16S ribosomal RNA". It matches the Rfam family "Bacterial small subunit ribosomal RNA", at positions 30 to 507 of the family's 1533-position model. The record is from RNAcentral.